AUGGCUCGAUUGAGCUUUUCGUCCACUCGCCAGUUCAUGGCAAUUCGACUUGUGCGAUGGCGAAUGAUUCUUCUGAUGCUCGUAGUAGCAGCCGCAGCACUAUGGUGGUCAUCAUCGCGGCCGCGGAUGCAUCCCGUGGUGCUGGUGCCGGGCUACGCUAGCAACGAGCUCGACGCGCGGCUCACCGAGCUGUACCGGCCAGGGUGCGGCGCGCGCAAGGGGAAGAGGACCGGCUGGUUCCGCCUCUUCCUCAACUACACGGCUCUCCACGACGACCCCGACGGCGUCCGGUGCUUCGCCGAGCAGAUGAGCACGGCGUACGACGCCGCGUCCGACGACUACUACAACGUCCCCGGCGUGGAGACGCGCGUCCCCUUCUUCGGCUCCACACGGGGAUUCCGCCACCCAGAUCCAGACCGGAGGAACUUCUCCUACAUGGACAAGCUGCUGGAGAGGCUCGAGGCGGCCGGGUACCGCGACGGCGAGACCAUGUUCGGCGCGCCCUACGACUUCCGCUACGCCGUCGCGCCGGCGGGACACCCGUCCAGAACCGGCACCGCCUUCUUCGCGAGCCUCAAGAGCCUGGUGGAGAGGGCGAGCCAGCUCAACGGCGACCGCCCGGCGAUUAUCGUCACCCACAGCUACGGCGGCACGCUGGCGCAGCAGUUCCUGAUCCGGCAGCCCCUGGCGUGGCGCCGGCGGUUCGUGCGGCACUUCAUCCCCGUCGCCGCUCCGUGGGGCGGGCUCGUGCUGGGCAUGCAGGCCCUCAUCUCAGGCAACAACCUCGCCCUCCCCUUCGUCGACCCCGGGGCCCUGCGGAAGGAGUACCGCAGCCUGCAGAGCAGCCUGUGGCCGCUGCCCAAUGCGAAGGUGUUCGGAGCCGGGCAGCCACUGGUGAGCACCAAGCGCCGGAACUACACGGCCGGCGACGUGGUGGACUUCCUCGUCGACAUCGGGUUCGGCGAAGGCGUCGGGCCGUACGAGUCGCGCGUGCUGCCCUUGUUCAAGGAGCUGCCGGCCUGUCCGAGGGUGCCGGUGACCUGCGUCGUCGGGGUCGGGGUGGCGACGCCGGAGAGGAUGGUGUACCCGGGGGACGAUUUCGAGGCGACGCCCGGCGUGGUUGUUGGGGACGGCGACGGCCUGGUCAACCUGGCGAGCCUGGUGGCCGUGGAGCCGGAGUGGAGGCGUGGUGGUCCGUAUUUUAAGAUGGUCAAGGUGGCCAACGUGAACCACACGGACAUUCUGGUUAAUGAUCGCGCGCUUGGGAUUGUGAUGAGAGAAAUUCUACGAGCUAAUUAG
This 1299-nucleotide ribosomal RNA is filed under the name Triticum aestivum (bread wheat). RNAcentral describes it as "partial small subunit ribosomal RNA". Lineage: Eukaryota; Viridiplantae; Streptophyta; Magnoliopsida; Poales; Poaceae. The record is from RNAcentral.